CCUACGGGUGGCAGCAGUGGGGAAUAUUGCACAAUGGGGGAAACCCUGAUGCAGCGACGCCGCGUGAGUGAAGAAGUAAUUCGUUAUGUAAAGCUCUAUCAGCAGGGAAGAAAAUGACGGUACCUGAGUAAGAAGCCCCGGCUAACUACGUGCCAGCAGCCGCGGUAAUACGUAGGGGGCAAGCGUUAUCCGGAUUUACUGGGUGGAAAGGGAGCGUAGACGGCAGUGCAAGUCUGGAGUGAAAGGCGGGGGCUCAACCCCCGGACUGCUCUGGAAACUGUAAGGCUGGAGUGCAGGAGAGGUGAGUGGAAUUCCUAGUGUAGCGGUGAAAUGCGUAGAUAUUAGGAGGAACACCAGUGACGAAGGCGGCUUACUGGACUGUAACUGACGUUGAGGCUCGAAAGCGUGGGGAGCAAACAGGAUUAGAUACCCUGGUAGUC
This 440-nucleotide ribosomal RNA is filed under the name uncultured bacterium. RNAcentral describes it as "partial 16S ribosomal RNA". It matches the Rfam family "Bacterial small subunit ribosomal RNA", at positions 338 to 795 of the family's 1533-position model. The record is from RNAcentral.